UACAGAGGGUGCGAGCGUUGUCCGGAAUCACUGGGCGUAAAGGGCGCGUAGGCGGUCCUUCAAGUCUCUCGUGAAAUCCCUCGGCUUAACUGAGGACGUGCGGGAGAUACUGCUGGGCUUGAGUCCGGAAGAGGGUGGUGGAAUUCCCAGUGUAGCGGUGAAAUGCGUAGAUAUUGGGAGGAACACCGGUGGCGAAGGCGGCCACCUGGGCCGGAACUGACGCUGAGGCGCGAAAGCGUGGGGAGCAAACGGG
This 253-nucleotide ribosomal RNA is filed under the name uncultured bacterium. RNAcentral's name for it is "partial 16S ribosomal RNA". It matches the Rfam family "Bacterial small subunit ribosomal RNA", at positions 524 to 776 of the family's 1533-position model. The record is from RNAcentral.